This 864-nucleotide ribosomal RNA is filed under the name uncultured bacterium. Its description in RNAcentral is "bacterial SSU rRNA". It matches the Rfam family "Bacterial small subunit ribosomal RNA", at positions 9 to 863 of the family's 1533-position model. The record is from RNAcentral.
GAGUUUGAUCAUGGCUCAGGAUGAACGCUAGCGGCAGGCUUAACACAUGCAAGUCGAGGGGUAACAGGGAUUGCUUGCAAUCCGCUGACGACCGGCGCACGGGUGCGUAACGCGUAUGCAACCUACCUUUUACAAGGGGAUAGCCCAGAGAAAUUUGGAAUAAUACCCUAUACGAUCAUUAAUUGGCAUCAAUUAAUGAAGAAAACUCCGGUGGUAAAAGAUGGGCAUGCGUCCUAUUAGUUAGUUGGUAAGGUAACGGCUUACCAAGACUCCGAUAGGUAGGGGUCCUGAGAGGGAGAUCCCCCACACUGGUACUGAGACACGGACCAGACUCCUACGGGAGGCAGCAGUGAGGAAUAUUGGACAAUGGAGGCAACUCUGAUCCAGCCAUGCCGCGUGCAGGAAGACGGCCCUACGGGUUGUAAACUGCUUUUAUACAGGAAGAACUAUAUCUACGUGUAGAUAUUUGACGGUACUGUACGAAUAAGGAUCGGCUAACUCCGUGCCAGCAGCCGCGGUAAUACGGAGGAUCCAAGCGUUAUCCGGAAUCAUUGGGUUUAAAGGGUCCGUAGGCGGUCUAAUAAGUCAGAGGUGAAAUCCUACAGCUCAACUGUAGCAUUGCCUUUGAUACUGUUAAACUUGAGUUAUUGUGAAGUAGUUAGAAUGUGUAGUGUAGCGGUGAAAUGCAUAGAUAUUACACAGAAUACCGAUUGCGAAGGCAGAUUACUAACAAUAUACUGACGCUGAGGGACGAAAGCGUGGGUAGCGAACAGGAUUAGAUACCCUGGUAGUCCACGCCGUAAACGAUGGAUACUAGCUGUUCGAUCAACAUUGGUUGGUUGAGUGGCUAAGCGAAAGUGAUAA